GACGAACGCUGGCGGCGUGCUUAACACAUGCAAGUCGAGCGGUAAGGCCCUUUCGGGGGUACACGAGCGGCGAACGGGUGAGUAACACGUGGGUGACCUGCCCUUAGCUCUGGGAUAAGCCUGGGAAACUGGGUCUAAUACCGGAUAUGACUCCAUGACGCAUGUUGUGGGGUGGAAAGCCUUGUGCGGCUAGGGAUGGGCCCGCGGCCUAUCAGCUUGUUGGUGGGGUGAUGGCCUACCAGGGCGACGACGGGUAGCCGGCCUGAGAGGGCGACCGGCCACACUGGGACUGAGACACGGCCCAGACUCCUACGGGAGGC
RNAcentral lists this ribosomal RNA (320 nucleotides) under uncultured bacterium. RNAcentral describes it as "bacterial SSU rRNA". It matches the Rfam family "Bacterial small subunit ribosomal RNA", at positions 28 to 349 of the family's 1533-position model. The record is from RNAcentral.